CAUUAUUUUAGGAUAGCGCAAAAAGGCUCUCUAUGUGUUUUAAACAUCUCCCUUAUCUUCGCCGUUUAAACUUAUCUAACAAUAACAUUAGGUCUGAUGGUGCUAUUAAUGUUAUUAACGAAUUUUUAUCAUUUAAUUUAGAUGAAACAAUAGAAAAAAAAAACAAGGAUAAUGAUUAUGUUUUUAGUAAUAAACAGUUAAAAUAUUACAAAUAUAAUAAUUUAAAUUAUAUAAAUAAAAAUAUAUAUGAAUUAGAUUUAUCAGAUAAUAAACUAGAUGAUUCUUUUAUAUUGUCACUAAGUAAACUACUUGCAAAAAAUAAUUUACAGUAUAACAAGUGUAGUGAGCCUUAUAAUAAUUGUAACAAUAAUAAUAAAUUUGAAAAAUAUUAUAGUACUAAUAUAAAUAUAUAUAAAAAAAGUAAUAAAAUUAGUGUAAAUAAUAACCUGUACAAAAAACAAACAAAACCUAAAUACAGAUUUGUAUUUAAAAAUAUUGAACUUACUGACGCAUCAGUUUUAUAUUUAUUCAAAAAUUGUACCUACGUUGAAGUUUUAGAUAUAUCUCAAAACAACAUCAACCCAAGUACUUGUUUUCCUAUUCAUAUGAAAACAUUAUUUAAUACUCAAUUACAUUUAAAAGAGUUACACCUAUCAGAUAUUUAUAAAAAUAGUAAUAAUAAAAUAAGAACUGAUUUUAUAAAAGGAGAUGAUGAUUUUUUAGAAUUAAUAAAACAUUUACCAAAAUUAACAAAAUUAAAAAUAAUUUCUUAUACGAAUAAUUAUAUUACUGAUGUAUCUUUUAACUUUUUUUGUAUCUACUUAAAAAAUAAUAAAAAUGUUAUUAAAGAAAUAAAUUUUGCAAAUAAUUAUAUUACUAAUAUAAAUGUUUUAACUUAUAGUUUACAAAAUAAUAAAACAUUAAAUAUUAUUAAUUUAUCACAAAAUAAAAUAACAGAUGAAUAUAUGAAACUUUUUUGUUACUCCAUUUUAUCAACAAACUUAAAUAUAUACGAAAUUUCAUUAUCCGGAAAUCCCAUAUCUAAUCUUACUUGUAAUUAUUUAGCAGAUGCCUUAAUGGCACAAUGUAAUUUAAUCAAACAAAAUAUAAAAUUAAAGUCUAGGAAUAAUAAUAAAAAAAAAAAAAAAAAAUAAUAUUAAUAAUAAUAAUAAUAAUAAUAUAGUUUUAUCAUCCACGUUAUGUAAUAAUGAUUUACAACCUUUUUUAAAAAAAAAAAAAAAAAUUAUCAUUUG
Molecule: long non-coding RNA, 1253 nt
Filed under: Piliocolobus tephrosceles (Ugandan red Colobus)
Lineage: Eukaryota; Metazoa; Chordata; Mammalia; Primates; Cercopithecidae
Description: lncRNA (ENSPTEG00000006293.1)
Source: RNAcentral